RNAcentral lists this ribosomal RNA (28 nucleotides) under Megalophaedusa puellaris. RNAcentral describes it as "Hemiphaedusa puellaris partial 5.8S rRNA". Lineage: Eukaryota; Metazoa; Mollusca; Gastropoda; Stylommatophora; Clausiliidae. The record is from RNAcentral.
GAAAAACCAGAAAAGAAAUGGGUAAAGG